CCUACGGGAGGCAGCAGUGAGGAAUAUUGGUCAAUGGACGAGAGUCUGAACCAGCCAAGUAGCGUGAAGGAUGACUGCCCUAUGGGUUGUAAACUUCUUUUAUAUGGGAAUAAAAUGUUCCACGUGUGGGAUUUUGUAUGUACCAUAUGAAUAAGGAUCGGCUAACUCCGUGCCAGCAGCCGCGGUAAUACGGAGGAUCCGAGCGUUAUCCGGAUUUAUUGGGUUUAAAGGGAGCGUAGGUGGAUUGUUAAGUCAGUUGUGAAAGUUUGCGGCUCAACCGUAAAAUUGCAGUUGAAACUGGCAGUCUUGAGUACAGUAGAGGUGGGCGGAAUGCGUGGUGUAGCGGUGAAAUGCUUAGAUAUCACGAAGAACUCCGAUUGCGAAGGCAGUUCACUGGACUGCAACUGACACUGAGGCGCGAAAGUGUGGGUAUCAAACAGGAUUAGAUACCCCAGUAGUC
RNAcentral lists this ribosomal RNA (460 nucleotides) under uncultured bacterium. RNAcentral's name for it is "partial 16S ribosomal RNA". It matches the Rfam family "Bacterial small subunit ribosomal RNA", at positions 338 to 795 of the family's 1533-position model. The record is from RNAcentral.